Molecule: ribosomal RNA, 253 nt
Filed under: uncultured bacterium
Lineage: Bacteria
Description: partial 16S ribosomal RNA
Rfam family: Bacterial small subunit ribosomal RNA
Source: RNAcentral
UACGUAGGGACCGAGCGUUGUCCGGAAUCAUUGGGCGUAAAGAGCGUGUAGGCGGCUAUUUAAGUCAGGGGUGAAAUCCUGGAGCUCAACUCCAGAACUGCCUUUGAUACUGGGAGUCUUGAGUAUGGAAGAGGUAAGUGGAAUUGCGAGUGUAGAGGUGAAAUUCGUAGAUAUUCGCAGGAACACCAGUGGCGAAGGCGGCUUACUGGUCCAUUACUGACGCUGAGGUGCGAAAGCGUGGGGAGCAAACAGG